CUGGAAACAGAGAAGUGCUUUAGCAAUAAAGAACCCGGUGACAGGUGCUGCAUGGGCUGUCGUCAGCUCGUGUCGUGAGAUGUUGGGUUAAGUCCCGCAACGAGCGCAACCCUCGCCUUUAGUUGCCAGCAUUCAGUUGGGCACUCUAGAGGGACUGCCGGUGUCAAACCGGAGGAAGGUGGGAUGACGUCAAGUCCUCAUGGCCUUUAUGUCUAGGGCUACACACGUACUACAAUGGCCGGUACAAAGGGCAGCCACUCAGCGAUGAGGCGCUAAUCCCAUAAAGCCGGUCUCAGUCCGGAUCGCAGUCUGCAACUCGACUGCGUGAAGUUGGAAUCGCUAGUAAUCGCGGAUCAGCAUGCCGCGGUGAAUACGUUCCCGGGCCUU
RNAcentral lists this ribosomal RNA (387 nucleotides) under uncultured Desulfovibrio sp. RNAcentral describes it as "bacterial SSU rRNA". It matches the Rfam family "Bacterial small subunit ribosomal RNA", at positions 1000 to 1382 of the family's 1533-position model. Lineage: Bacteria; Pseudomonadati; Thermodesulfobacteriota; Desulfovibrionia; Desulfovibrionales; Desulfovibrionaceae. The record is from RNAcentral.